GUGCUUGCUUUGGCAGCACAUAUACUAAAAUUGGAAUGAUGCAGAGAAGAUUAGCAUGGCCCCAGCGUAAGGAUGACAUGCAAAUUCAUGAAGUGUUUCAUAUUUUU
Molecule: small nuclear RNA, 107 nt
Organism: Tupaia belangeri (northern tree shrew)
Lineage: Eukaryota; Metazoa; Chordata; Mammalia; Scandentia; Tupaiidae
Source: Ensembl